This is a long non-coding RNA of Ficedula albicollis (Collared flycatcher), 772 nucleotides long. RefSeq lists it as uncharacterized. Lineage: Eukaryota; Metazoa; Chordata; Aves; Passeriformes; Muscicapidae. The transcript has 3 exons. The record is from RefSeq and is a predicted model, not a curated record.
UGCUGUCUGCAGGGCUGCCAAUGGCCUGCCCAAAACAACCCGCUCAGAUUUACUGUAAGGGCAGCCAGGCCGUCCAUAGCUUGUGGGGAACAUAGCAGCCCUGCCUGCAGAAAGGGCUGCGGAAGCCAAGCUGGCCCCUUGCCCAGCAGGCUGGAGGAGGGGAGGGGGGGCUCUGCGGCCCUGCCCGGCCCAGCACCCUCAGCCCUCAUCCACUGCAGGCCCCGAGCCUUGCUCGGGAGCACAUGAGGAAGAAAAGAGGGAAGAUGGAGACAGUGAGGCUUUCUCUACCUCUGGCUGGAGAAUGUGGAAUGAGCAGCAGCGGCUGCAGGAUCUCAUGGCCACCACCCUGGCAAGGCGAUGGGCAGAGUGGGCACAUGCCAAGGGGAGGCUGACUGGGGGCUUCCACUCCCUUCUACAGCAAGAUUAUAUCCAGAUCUCCACUCUCUGAAACAAGCUGCACACAAGCCCCCAGAAUGGGGGAGCAGAACCUGUUUGCAACACAAAUCCAGGGACCAGAGAGCAAUGACACAGACAUGAAGCCAGAAAACAGCUGCAAACCUUCAGAGGUACUGCAAAGAAAUGCCUCCAAAUCAGUGUCACUGAGAAAGCAGAGAAGGAAAUGCAACAGGAAGCCAGCACAGCCUGGGCACUGCCACAGGGACAUCAGCACCUUCUCAUCACUGCACCAGCCACUGAAACUGCCCCAUGACUUGCUGCUGUCACUGCUCUGAAUGUCACACCCGCUGCCCCCCCUCUGCCACCAGCCAGACAU